ACACCUACGGGUGGCUGCAGUCGAGAAUCUUCCGCAAUGGGCGAAAGCCUGACGGAGCGACGCCGCGUGCGGGAUGAAGGCCUUCGGGUUGUAAACCGCUGUCAGAGGGGAACAAAUCCACGGGGGUUCUCCCUCGUGGGUGAGUGAUCCUCAGAGGAAGCGCAGGCUAAGUCCGUGCCAGCAGCCGCGGUAACACGGACUGCGCAAACGUUAUUCGGAAUCACUGGGCUUAAAGCGUUCGUAGGCGGCCGUGCAGGUGGGGUGUGAAAUCCCUCGGCUCAACCGAGGAAUUGCGCUCCAAACCACACGGCUUGAGAGAGAUAGAGGUGAGCGGAACUCACGGUGGAGCGGUGAAAUGCGUUGAUAUCGUGAGGAACACCGGUGGCGAAAGCGGCUCACUGGGUCUCUUCUGACGCUGAGGGACGAAAGCUAGGGGAGCGAACGGGAUUAGAUACCCCGGUAGUCCUAGCUGUAAACGAUGAGCACUAGAUCGGGGGGACCUCCACAUCCUCCUGGUCGUAGCGAAAGUGUUAAGUGCUCCGCCUGGGGA
Molecule: ribosomal RNA, 550 nt
Filed under: uncultured bacterium
Lineage: Bacteria
Description: bacterial SSU rRNA
Rfam family: Bacterial small subunit ribosomal RNA
Source: RNAcentral